Stegodyphus dumicola is the source of this 4888-nucleotide long non-coding RNA. NCBI's taxonomy places the organism in Eukaryota, Metazoa, Arthropoda, Arachnida, Araneae, Eresidae. The record is from RefSeq and is a predicted model, not a curated record.
AAUUAUUAUCGUUCUGUAUGUGUUUCAAAAUGUCUUUUAAAUUACAGACAACAAAUAUGAAAGACUAAGUGCAAUGUUGCAUCAAAUUUCAUUUCUGUCCAAGUUAAGAAUGAUAUGGUUCAUCGAAAACUGCACGAACAAACAUAAACAAUGGCGUAACAGUUCCGUUCAUCAGAUUUUCUUCCCCUUCAACUGCCUCGUGAAUUAUGAGAAACAUAAGGGAGUCAAGGCCUUGUCCGGCCAAUUGCUCCUCGGCGAAUGACAAACUACGAUUCACGUAAUCGACAAACUCAGAUUGAUUUUGAAUUUGUAAACUUUCAUUGCAACGGACAGUUGACAUUGUGCUGUGGAGGAAACAAUUUGUAUCACUCUUGCUACAGAUAUAAUUUGUAAUCUGGAAUUUUUGGGAAGAGGAUUCUGAAGAAGGUGCCAUUUCGACAUCGAGACAUGCUUCCCAAAACCAGAAUGUAGAAGCUGUUAUUCUAGCAGAAAGAGAAAGGCGUGAUAAAUUGAAAUCUGAAGCAGAGAAAAAGAAAGCCGUGGAGAAAGUAAAUCGUGAAAAGCAGCGACAGAAGCAGGAAGAGCGAAGAGAGAAGGAGCGGAAGAGAACACAGAAACGAGAGCAUAGGCGAUGAGUGUUAGUUGAUGAAUAUACUCUUUUUAUGCAGAUAUAAGUUAUGAACUUUUGUGUAUUUCAGCUGAAACAGUUCUAAUGAAUACUCAGUUGGAGUAUGUUUUAUGUAUGAGCUGUGUGAAAAUUGAAGUUGUGAAAUUUUUUAUAUAUUAUAUGUGUUUAAUACAUAUGCAUUCUGAAAAAGAUUGUAUUCAUUUCUUCAGUUAUACUGAUUAACUUGCACAGAAUACUUUAACAAGUAUAUAACAUUUGAAAAUAACAGGCUGCUAUUUGUAUUUCUUAGUUAAAACUAAUUUGUAUAUAAAUGUCUGAAAAUUUUCCUUAUUUCUUCGUCUAUAUAUAUAAUGCACAUAAGAAUAGUUUCUUGGGUGAUAGACAAGGUUUAUGUGUGUAAUGGGCAUAUAUAUACUCAUAUCCAGGUUAUUUUUAAAAGAUGGCUAUAGCUUUUCUUUAAUACUGAUCGUAGACUUGUGCAUCCAAUUCCUCCCCCCAGUUAAAGGUAGAGAUCUUCAUGCAAAACUGAGAUUGGGGGGGGGUCUGUAAAAACAGUGGUACCUCAGUACGCGUCCAGUAUGUCCUUAGCAUAAGCCUUGUUUGGAUGGGAAAAUUUUUGGGUAUAUGAACAAAGAGAUUGUUCAAAACUGGGAAGAUGACAUGCAUAUCUGGGGCUUGGCUGUUGCAUAUUGUAUGCCAAGUAUGAUAGUGUACAUGGUUGUGAAAACAAAGAUGCUAUUAAAUUGGCUAAAAUUGUGAAGAGGAUGAACUCAAUUACAAAACGAAAAUCAAAGGCAUUAAAGUAUGUUAAAUAAUUGCUUUUGUUCUGUAUAGCAGGAAAACAAUGUACGGUAUUAUGUGCUUCAUUUAUGUACAGCAUGUAUUUCACUCACUGCAUUUAUAUUUUAUUAUUCAACAAUAUUAAAAUAAUAACAAUGGUGUUUUUUAUAAAAAAAAGAUUAAUUACUUUCCCUUUACUUCUAAUUGGUAAAGUUAAUUUAGUAUAGGUUCAAGGAUCUGGAUUAAUAAUGUUAUGCUAAGGUACCACUGUAUGAUGUUUAUGAGCCCUUUCUAAAACAAAAUUUCCUAUUAGUAAAAUAUUCAUUGUGUGUUAAUAAGUUAAAUGAAAUAUAUAUAUAUAUAUAUACAGAAUUCACCAAGCUAUUUGAGAAUGAAUUUUUUGACUGUUUUUAACACUUGUCUUCAGUUGAAAUUCCGCAUCCUUAAAGCAAAUUUAGGAAAGAACUAUGAAACAGAAUUCUGCAUUGGAUGAAACAGCAUUCAAUUUUAAAUAUUGCUGACCCAAUGAAACGAAAUUGUUCAUAGCUAUGUGUUUUGCGCAUAAAAUUAUGGGAAUUUUUGUAUAUUUAGAUGCAGUAUGUUUGAAUUAAGAUCGCAUGAUUAAGUAUCUGAAACAGUUGGUCAUAGACUAAGGAUUCCAGUUUAGGAAAUGAAUUGGAUAAGUUAGGCUUUCAGACUAUGUCAGUUUUUAUCAGUAUUUUAUUUAAAUAUAGAAAAUUAAAAUUUUUGUACAAUCUUUGAGAAAGAAAAUUUCAUUUAGUAGGUUGUUGUUAUGUUAUUAAAGGUUUUGAGGGAAGAAAAAAUUAAUUUUUAAAAUGCUAAAAGCCUUAAAAUUUGUUGACAUUAUAUGGCAGUUUUAAAUUCUUUAUUUAACAUUCUUCUAAUUUAACAUUAUAUUACAAAAUGGCAAUAUAUGGCAAUUUUAAUUGUAUCCUUAAAAGUUGUCAACAUUAUAUGGCAAUUUUAAUUCAACUAAAUGAGCAGCAAAAGGUAUCAGUUUUUUUGACCAUAUAAAAAAUAAUUUCUAAUAAACUCAAAAUUCUAAAGUUUAGCAUUUUUAUAAUAGUAAUUUGAAAUCAGUGCUUCUAAAUUAAAGUGUUUCUAACAUAAAUGGUAUUAUUUUGAAAUUUGUAUCUGGAAACUUAACGUGUAUUGUUAACUUAACAUGUUAUGUCUUUGGCAAUAUCAUGAAAAAUUUUGAUUUCUAAUAACUCAGAAAACUGAUGGUAUGAGAAUUUACUCCCUUUCGAUUUUGACUAAAUCAGCAAUGGAAAAUUAUUUUCUGAUUGGCUUAUUGUCCCCUUCAAAAUUGUUUACAAAUUUGUUUAAUGUAUUUAUUUAUACUUAAUGGUAUGACAUGAUCAAAAGACAUUGUAAUAUUGUAAUCUAAAGGUGUACUUUAUUUGAUGUAUUUCUGAAAUGCUAACAAACUGUUCAGAAGAUCAAUUUAAUCUCCAGAAGACAUUGUAGUCAUACAGUCUUAAAAAUCUUUUAUAGCAUGAAGGAACUGUGUACUUUAUAACAGCCUCCAGAAAUGCACUAAAAGCUGUUAUUUAUAAAUAUGCUCAGAGUAUGAAGUUAAAAGGGAAGUAUGUAUAUACAAGUAAAUUUUAAGGUAAAAGAAGAAAUAUCUCUAAUAGGCAAAAGCAUUUAAUAGGCGGAAAUAUUAAAAAAAAUAGUACUUGUGUUAUAAAUUAAGCAUUUCCGAGUCCGAAAAAGUCCAUUAAAGAGAAAAAAAAGAAAAUGCAACAUUAAUAAAUUUAGUAUUUUAUUGCUUCUUGAUAAUAUGUAUACCAUAUUUACUGGCAUAUUCCUUCCUUUCCUUUUACUAAUUUUGUCAUGUGAAAAGGGAAAAAUUGUGCAUAAUUUCUGAAGGAUGUGGUUGCAGUAAAAAUAUAACAAAUAAAAAGUAUCCAUGGUAACUAUCACAAUUAUUUGUUUUAAAAAAAACUACACUCCAAUAUGAAUGCAUAGUUGCAUUAAUGUUACCAGUAUCUAAUGUCUUUAUUUCCACUUCCUGUAUUUUGCAUCUCACUUGCUCACUCUAUUGUUCUCCACUGCUACUCUGUAGACCUCAGUCAUUAAAUGUUACUGUCUGUGUCAUCUGCUACACCUUGCAAGUCAUUGCCGUUGUCUUCAUCACCAUUUGGUCCAUCAUGCCAUAUGUUGUGAUUAUCCAAGUGAUCAUGAACUUUAGAUAUCUCCAUUUUCUUGAAGAUCUUCACUAUUAUUGCUGCAUCAGUCAGAACCCAUGCAUCCAAAAUCCACAAACAAAUCAGUAAAAUGAAAACAAUCACAAUGUGGGCAAAUCCAUUUUAAAAGUUAGGGAAGCUCGUCUUCUGAAUGCCUUGUGGAAGAGGAAAAUUAUUUGAGUAUUAAGAAAAAUUUCAUAACUUUGUACUUUUAGUACAAGGAGAAAAAUAUUCAGGUAAAUAAAUAUAUAUAUAUACAUGUUGAUAAGAAAAGGAGAGGUAAAAAUUAGCUAACGCCGUAAAGAACUACCUAAUUCCUGAUAUUACAUGUAAAACAAAGUUAAAACAACAAAAUCUUUUGACCAUCUUUUUAUGUGUAAAAUUUCUCAGUAUUAUGUAAAGGUUUUUUCUCAUACCAAUUUUGAUUUUUUUUGUACAGAUUUUCUAAUUUUUUUUUGUAUAAUAAGUAGUUUUUUUUUUUUUUUUUUUUUUUUGCUUACAAUGUAUUGCUUUAACUUAGAUUCUGUUGUUUUACAUGUAAUAUCAGGAAUUAGGUAGUUCAAAUGUUCUUUACUGCUUUAGCUAAUUUUUACCUCUUCUUUUCUUGACAAUCUAUUUUGAAAUUUGCAGCUCAAUGCACAAUUUUUGACCAACUAGGUCUCACAUUUUUAUGAUUUACUACUAUCUAUCUAUAUAUAUAUAUGUAUAUGCAUGUAGCAUGUCAAUAAAAACACUUAACUGGCUUUUGUUUCCACAACUGUUGGUUAUAGAUAUAUAUUUCAGUUGCAAAAAUAUUUUCAAUGGUGCAGAUAUUAAAGUUUUGGCAUUUUUAAAUUUUAAGAAAAUAAAUUUUUCAAAAAAUUAUAAAAUCUUAACUUAUGCAUUCUUCUGGUUGAAUAUUUAUACAUUCUUCUGGUUGAAUAUGGGAAAAUUUUAUACUCAUUAUAAAAAAUAAAAUUCAAGUUGUAUGAUAGAAUUAAUAGAAAUAUUUUAUUUUGAAGCUGAGAUAAUUUUCAGGGGACAUACACAAUUUAAAAAAUGAAAUGUCUGUAUUUGUAUGUGACUAAAAGUAAGUUAUCAGUUUAAGAAAAUGUUUUUGGUGUUAAUAGAUUAAAUGGCAAGCACAACUAUGCAGAGUAUCAUGAAAAAUAUUGACGAGUAUAAUUUUUUCCAAAAAGGAGAUCUGCAUUUGUAAAAAAAAUUAUUAUAGUAGUUGCAGGUACGUUUUUGGUUUGUACCAUUAGUUUUGAUUUUUCUGAUAAUUAAA